This 490-nucleotide ribosomal RNA is filed under the name uncultured bacterium. RNAcentral's name for it is "bacterial SSU rRNA". It matches the Rfam family "Bacterial small subunit ribosomal RNA", at positions 29 to 513 of the family's 1533-position model. The record is from RNAcentral.
AACGAACGCUGGCGGCGCGCCUAAUACAUGCAAGUCGAGCGAGAAGACGUAGCAAUACGUUUGUAAGGCGGCGAACGGGUGAGGAAUACAUGGGUAACCUACCCUAGAGUGGGGAAUAACUAGCCGAAAGGUUAGCUAAUACCGCGUACGCUCCUUGGACUUCGGUUCAGGGAGGAAAGCGAUACCGAGGGUAUCGCGCUCUUGGAUGGGCUCAUGUCCUAUCAGCUUGNGGUGAGGUAACGGCUCACCAAGGCUUCGACGGGUAGCUGGUCUGAGAGGACGAUCAGCCACACUGGCACUGCGACACGGGCCAGACUCCUACGGGAGGCAGCAGUAAGGAAUAUUGCGCAAUGGGCGAAAGCCUGACGCAGCGACGCCGCGUGGGGGAUGAAGGUCUUCGGAUUGUAAACCCCUUUCGGGAGGGAAGAUGGAACGAGCAAUCGUUCGGACGGUACCUCCAGAAGCAGCCACGGCUAACUUCGUGCCAGCA